CUCCAAUAGCGUAUAUUAAAGUUGUUGCAGUUAAAAAGCUCGUAGUUGAAUUUCGGGAUUGACACAUCGGUCGUGCCUUAAGGGGUGUGAACUGGUGUAGUCAAUUUCUCACCUUCUGGAGAACCGCGAUGUCCUUAAUUGGGUGCCGCGAGGAACCAGGACCUUUACUUUGAAAAAAUUAGAGUGUUUAAAGCAGGCAUUUUUGCUUGAAUACAUUAGCAUGGAAUAAUAAAAUAGGACGGCAUGAUUCUAUUUUGUUGGUUUCUAGGAUCACCGUAAUGAUUAAUAGGGAUAGUUGGGGGCAUUAGUAUUCAAUUGUCAGAGGUGAAAUUCUUGGAUUUAUUGAAGACUAACUACUGCGAAAGCAUUUGCCAAGGAUGUUUUCAUUAAUCAAGAACGAAAGUUAGGGGAUCGAAGACGAUCAGAUACCGUCGUAGUCUUAACCAUAAACUAUGCCGACUAGGAAUCAGACGAUGUUAAUU
Molecule: ribosomal RNA, 482 nt
Filed under: uncultured Glomus
Lineage: Eukaryota; Fungi; Glomeromycota; Glomeromycetes; Glomerales; Glomeraceae
Description: SSU rRNA
Rfam family: Eukaryotic small subunit ribosomal RNA
Source: RNAcentral